This 465-nucleotide ribosomal RNA is filed under the name Vreelandella stevensii. Its description in RNAcentral is "partial 16S ribosomal RNA". It matches the Rfam family "Bacterial small subunit ribosomal RNA", at positions 338 to 795 of the family's 1533-position model. Lineage: Bacteria; Pseudomonadati; Pseudomonadota; Gammaproteobacteria; Oceanospirillales; Halomonadaceae. The record is from RNAcentral.
CCUACGGGGGGCUGCAGUGGGGAAUAUUGGACAAUGGGGGCAACCCUGAUCCAGCCAUGCCGCGUGUGUGAAGAAGGCCCUCGGGUUGUAAAGCACUUUCAGUGAGGAAGAACGCCUGGUGGUUAAUACCCAUCAGGAAAGACAUCACUCACAGAAGAAGCACCGGCUAACUCCGUGCCAGCAGCCGCGGUAAUACGGAGGGUGCGAGCGUUAAUCGGAAUUACUGGGCGUAAAGCGCGCGUAGGUGGCUUGAUAAGCCGGUUGUGAAAGCCCGGGGCUCAACCUGGGAACGGCAUCCGGAACUGUCAAGCUAGAGUGCAGGAGAGGAAGGUAGAAUUCCCGGUGUAGCGGUGAAAUGCGUAGAGAUCGGGAGGAAUACCAGUGGCGAAGGCGGCCUUCUGGACUGACACUGACACUGAGGUGCGAAAGCGUGGGUAGCAAACAGGAUUAGAUACCCGUGUAGUC